CCUGCCCACUGAUAAUAUAAUUUAAAGGCCGCGGUAUUAAUGACCGUGCAAAGGUAGCAUAAUCAUUAGUCUUUUAAUUGAAGGCUUGUAUGAAUGGUUGGACAAAAGGAAAACUGUCUUCUUUAAUAAAAAUUGAAUUUAACUUUUAAGUGAAAAGGCUUAAAUAUUUCAGAGGGACGAUAAGACCCUAUAAAACUUUAUAAAGAAUAAAAUUUAAAUUGAAGUUUAUAUUAAAAAUUAAGGUUUUAUGUUUUAUUAGGUUGGGGCAACUAAGGUAUAAUUUAUAUAUAACUGCUUAAUAAUAUAAACAAAUAUUUUUGUAUUUAGGUUUAAAUGAUCCUUAUUUAAAGAUUUUUAAGAUUAAGUUACUUUAGGGAUAACAGCGUUAUUUUUUUUGAGAGUUCAUAUCGAAAAAAGAGUUUUCGACCUCGAUGUUGAAUUAAAAUUUCUAUAUGGUGUAGUUAUUAUAUAAGAGGGUCUGUUCGACCUUUAAUUUUUUACGUGAUCUGAGUU
This 513-nucleotide ribosomal RNA is filed under the name Phrygiopilus montebelloensis. RNAcentral's name for it is "partial large subunit ribosomal RNA". It matches the Rfam family "Bacterial large subunit ribosomal RNA", at positions 1858 to 2611 of the family's 2925-position model. The record is from RNAcentral. Lineage: Eukaryota; Metazoa; Arthropoda; Malacostraca; Decapoda; Pseudothelphusidae.